GUGGGGAAUUUUGGACAAUGGGCGCAAGCCUGAUCCAGCAAUGCCGCGUGCAGGAAGAAGGCCUUCGGGUUGUAAACUGCUUUUGUACGGAACGAAACGGUCCUGGCUAAUAUCCGGGGCUAAUGACGGUACCGUAAGAAUAAGCACCGGCUAACUACGUGCCAGCAGCCGCGGUAAUACGUAGGGUGCGAGCGUUAAUCGGAAUUACUGGGCGUAAAGCGUGCGCAGGCGGUGCUGUAAGACAGGCGUGGAAUCCCCGGGCUCAACCUGGGGAUUGCGCUUGGGACUGCAGUGCUGGAGUGCGGCAGAGGGGGAUGGAAUUCCGCGUGUAGCAGUGAAAUGCGUAGAUAUGCGGAGGAACACCGAUGGCGAAGGCAGUCCCCUGGGCCUGUACUGACGCUCAUGCACGAAAGCGUGGGGAGCAAACAGGAUUAGAAACCCUGGUAGUCC
This 450-nucleotide ribosomal RNA is filed under the name uncultured bacterium. Its description in RNAcentral is "partial 16S ribosomal RNA". It matches the Rfam family "Bacterial small subunit ribosomal RNA", at positions 354 to 796 of the family's 1533-position model. The record is from RNAcentral.